GAGCAGACCGGGAGGAAGAGGGAGCAUGCGCGGUGUGGGUCCUGCGGGUCAUGUCUCAUGGGCCCCCGGUCUCCAGGUGCUGCUGGCUGUUAGUUUCCUGACGCUGCUGUAGCAGUUCACGCACACCCUAGGAGUCCGAAGUUGGAGGUCUGAAGCGAAUCUCGAGGGGCUAAGGACCCUGUGCUCACAUUGGUCCCACCUGGAAAAUCUGGAUCACCUCUCUCUCUCUCAAGGACUGGACUCCUUCACCUGUGAAGUCUCAUUCUCCAUGGUGUCCGGGCUGUGUAACCCCAGGCGCUGUGGCUACCGGUGCUCUUGUGAGUCCUCCGUGCCGACUGAGAUGCGCUGCGCAAACAUCUGUUGUGAGAAAUGCUGAUGCUGCUAAUGCCGCUGCGGUUUUCUGCACACAUUUGUCAUCAAAAGAAAUGUUCAACUUCAGGCGGAGGUGAAUAUAAAUAAAUCUGUGUGUGUGUGUGUGUGUGUGUGUGUGUGUACUUGUGUGUCUUGGUGUAUCUCCGCAUGUCUGUGCUUUUGUAUUUGUGCGUGUUUGUGUGUAUUCGUAUUUGUGUCCAUGUAUGUCUGAGUGUCCGCUUGUGUUCACAGGUGCAUGUGUGUGUUUGUGCGUGCGAGUGUGUAUUUUGCCAUGGACUGUUGCAGACCCCCAAACUCCAACCAUAGACCCACUCCAUGACCCCUAGGGAGGAGCCUGGCUUGGGUUUGUUUUGUGUGCGGUGUGAAGCCAUGGACAGAACCUUGUGUGUGUGUGUGGCACGUG
Molecule: long non-coding RNA, 775 nt
Filed under: Heterocephalus glaber (naked mole-rat)
Lineage: Eukaryota; Metazoa; Chordata; Mammalia; Rodentia; Bathyergidae
Description: lncRNA (ENSHGLG00000043194.1)
Source: RNAcentral